This 69-nucleotide transfer RNA is filed under the name Homidia koreana. RNAcentral describes it as "tRNA-Val". It matches the Rfam family "tRNA". From Rfam's summary of the family: Transfer RNA (tRNA) molecules are approximately 80 nucleotides in length. Their secondary structure includes four short double-helical elements and three loops (D, anti-codon, and T loops). Lineage: Eukaryota; Metazoa; Arthropoda; Collembola; Entomobryomorpha; Entomobryidae. The record is from RNAcentral.
CUUUACGGAGCUUGAAGGUUAAGCAGUUCAUUUACAUUGAAAAAAUCUUGUUCGAAGCAGGUGUAGAGA